This is a non-coding RNA of Parelaphostrongylus tenuis, 74 nucleotides long. Lineage: Eukaryota; Metazoa; Nematoda; Chromadorea; Rhabditida; Metastrongylidae. The record is from the annotation of a GenBank genome assembly.
GCAUCGGUAGUGCAGCGGUUCGAGCACGCGCCCUCCGAUCGGGUGAACUGCGGGUUCAAGUCCUACCUGGUGCA